UGUCAUUUGAAACAAUUGUGAGAAAGAAUUUAGUAGGUUUGGAAUGUAGUUUUUAAAUUUAAGUGAAAUUUGAUCAGAUAUAUGUGAUUCUCUGUGCCAAGCUGGCAUUAUCACAAGUGUAAAAAAAAUCACAACCAGUUUGACGACUGCUUUCAAAGUUAACCUCAAAGAAACCUGUUCUCAGUGAAGAAAAAUCCCCGCGUUAGCAACAGAGAAUAACUGCGGUGUGUGCUAUACGAAUCAAGCUUAAUUAAAUAUGAUUAAGCUCAAUUCCGCGUUCCAUUGGACACGUCUUCAAUUGCUCAUGUUAAAAAAAGUGAUAUGAAAAAGUGAAAAGUGUACUUACGUAAACGUGUCUAUCAGAUCCUUGAUUUUCUUCUCGACGGAAGCCGUAUUAACCAGAUAGGUUUCAUCGGCCGGAAGCUCGUAGAUGACCCCCUUCGCUCCGAAUCGAUCGGCCGCAUCCACCUGAUUGCGGUAAUCCUGGGCGUCAAGCUUUACCAGCGGUCCCUCCUGCCACCAGGUCAACGGAACCGGGGCAGCACAUUUCGGUGCAUCCAUUAUAAUAUAGAUUGCACCAGCCAGCAUCGCGAUCCAGAGUCCCCAGAACAGGAUGAAAAGGAACCAACGUAGCCGAAUCCAGAACGGAUCGUUGGCAAACUUCAUCAGCUCUUCCUUGCUCAUGCCGGAGAACGUUUGCUGCGAAAAGAGGUAGGCCGUUUAAUAUUGAGUGCCAUUUUACUGGAAGUUUUUAAGUGACCGUUUUUUCAAACUGCAAAACAAACAAUUAGCACCAAAACGCUAAUUGUUGUCGCCUGACCGUUAACUCACCUGCUGUUCCACCUCCAGAUCGAUCCGGGCGUCGCCAUUCUGCUCGGAGAUGAAUUUUACUUCCACCUCCUUCUGGGCCAGUUUGUCCUUCUCGGUGGUGGCUGCAUCGCCAGCACCGUUCCCGUUCAGCAUUCGUUCGUCUUCGCCAUCCUUGUAGUUGCCGUUUUCACGGACCAUUGUGGAACCUGUGAGGUGCACAGAAAAAUGGAAUUUUUGAGCUUAGAUUUCGAGAUAAAGGAGCGGAGCAAGUUGUACUGCAGCGUCUGAGUGCUCGAGAGCAAAUGCGAUGAGAGGUUUCGAAUAAGAUAGUAGUGGAGCCGCUGGAGAGUUGCCUUUUUCGGAUGUUCUUUUGUUGGAUGAAAGCGCCAGUUGGAAGGAAAAAUUGAAAGAGGUUAUCGUAUCGGAGGACAUUACUUCAUUUCGUCACUAAUCUAUUGAGGCAAGCAAAAUGCAGUGGAAACCAGCGAAAGACGGCCUUCGAUCUGAGUUUAUUUGCUUAAGCGCUACAUUCGGAAUGUGUCUGCUGCCGAAAGUCGGUCUGGAGUCAUGCCAGGUUGGAAGUUUCCGGAAGAGAACUCGGACAGGUUGACCGGUUCGACGAGGAAGAGGAAUUCCUGCCGUAUAACCGAUGGUUGGUGGAGGAGGAAGAGAGAGAACGGUUGGAGGAACUCGGACCUAUCGCAGAACCAGUUGGAAGGCCUGCCGGAGGAACUCGGACCGGUCACAGAACCGACUGGAGGCCUGCCGGAUGAUAUAUAUAUGGUUCUAUUUUUCCAGCGCUGCAUACGGAAUGUGACUGCUGCCGAAAGUCGGUCUGGAAUCUGGCCUGGUUGAACGUUUCCGGAAGAGAUAGUUGGAGGAACUCGGACCGAUCGCAGAACCAGUUGGAAGGCCUGCCGGAGGAACUCGGACCGGUCGCAGAACCGACUGGAGGCCUGCCGGAUAAUAUGACCCAUCAAAAAUUCGGAAUGAGGAACGUAAAAUUCGGAUAAAAUUAUAAUAACUCUAUUGUCAAAAUAAAUUGAAAUUUUAUUCGCAUUUAUUUUAUU
Molecule: long non-coding RNA, 1880 nt
Organism: Wyeomyia smithii (pitcher-plant mosquito)
Lineage: Eukaryota; Metazoa; Arthropoda; Insecta; Diptera; Culicidae
Exons: 4
Source: RefSeq, a predicted model, not a curated record